Molecule: long non-coding RNA, 584 nt
Organism: Nicotiana tabacum (common tobacco)
Lineage: Eukaryota; Viridiplantae; Streptophyta; Magnoliopsida; Solanales; Solanaceae
Source: RefSeq, a predicted model, not a curated record
CCCCCUUUUUAUUUUUAUUUUGGCCUUCACCUUCCCCAAUUCGUUCAACCCUUCGACUCGUGCUUUGAGUUACGAGGUUCAAAUGAGCGACAACCUUAUCUUCCAAUGUUGCGGCUAUGGCUUGAAAUUGUUCUAAAUAAAGAUAGUGUGGUUCAUCCAUAUCAGUACUUAUAGCUCCAUUCCAGUUUUAAUCAAUGGUCUCAUGUCUUAUUCGAUGUAGAUUUUGGCAUCUGCUUUGGCCAUAUUUUUUGGGUUGUAAUGCUCCUAAAUAAUAGGCUUCUUCUGGCUUUGCGGAUGCAAGUCUCUCUUUAGCUGUGUUACUUUGAUUCCCACAUCUCACUGAUAUCGCAAGUGCGGAGAGAAAACUCUUGCUAAUACAGUGAAACAUGAGAUGGAAAAAAAGAGGAUGGACAUGCUUAAAUCAUCAUUGGAAAUAUGGUUCAUGCGGUGCAACAAGCUGUUGGAAGAAGAUUUAUUUUGGAAUUAAUUAGAUUAGAAUUUAAUGACCUUGUAUAUAAUGCUUUCAUUCUUUUUGUAAGUAAAAGCAUACAUUUUAAGAGAUUUAGUUUUUGAAAGAGAGUAAA